This 297-nucleotide signal recognition particle RNA is filed under the name Cebus imitator (Panamanian white-faced capuchin). RNAcentral's name for it is "Metazoan signal recognition particle RNA (ENSCCAG00000009254.1)". It matches the Rfam family "Metazoan signal recognition particle RNA". Rfam says of the family: The signal recognition particle (SRP) is a universally conserved ribonucleoprotein. It is involved in the co-translational targeting of proteins to membranes. The eukaryotic SRP consists of a 300-nucleotide 7S RNA and six proteins: SRPs 72, 68, 54, 19, 14, and 9. Lineage: Eukaryota; Metazoa; Chordata; Mammalia; Primates; Cebidae. The record is from Rfam by way of RNAcentral.
GCUGGACGCGGUGGUGUGUGCCUGUUGUCCCAGCUACUCGGGAGGCUGAGGUGGGAGGAUCACUUGAGCCCAGGAGUUCUGGGCUGUAGUGCGCUAUGCCGAUUGGAUGUCCGCACUAAAUUCGGCAUCAAUAUGGUGAACUCCGAGGAGCCAGGGACCACCAGGUUGCCAAAAAGGAAUGAACUGGCCCAGGUCGGAAACGUAGCAGGUCAAAACUCCUGUGCUGAUCAGCAGUAGGAUCACACCCGUGAAUAGCCACUGCACUCCAACCUGGGCAACAUAGAGAGACCCGCCUAU